RNAcentral lists this ribosomal RNA (484 nucleotides) under uncultured bacterium. RNAcentral describes it as "partial 16S ribosomal RNA". It matches the Rfam family "Bacterial small subunit ribosomal RNA", at positions 30 to 507 of the family's 1533-position model. The record is from RNAcentral.
AUUGAACGCUGGCGGCAGGCCUAACACAUGCAAGUCGAGCGGAUGAAGGGAGCUUGCUCCUGGAUUCAGCGGCGGACGGGUGAGUAAUGCCUAGGAAUCUGCCUGGUAGUGGGGGAUAACGUCCGGAAACGGGCGCUAAUACCGCAUACGUCCUGAGGGAGAAAGUGGGGGAUCUUCGGACCUCACGCAAUCAGAUGAGCCUAGGUCGGAUUAGCUAGUUGGUGGGGUAAAGGCCUACCAAGGCGACGAUCCGUAACUGGUCUGAGAGGAUGAUCAGUCACACUGGAACUGAGACACGGUACAGACUCCUACGGGAGGCAGCAGUGGGGAAUAUUGGACAAUGGGCGAAAGCCUGAUCCAGCCAUGCCGCGUGUGUGAAGAAGGUCUUCGGAUUGUAAAGCACUUUAAGUUGGGAGGAAGGGCAGUAAGUUAAUACCUUGCUGUUUUGACGUUACCAACAGAAUAAGCACCGGCUAACUUCGUG